RNAcentral lists this ribosomal RNA (253 nucleotides) under uncultured bacterium. RNAcentral's name for it is "partial 16S ribosomal RNA". It matches the Rfam family "Bacterial small subunit ribosomal RNA", at positions 524 to 776 of the family's 1533-position model. The record is from RNAcentral.
UACAGAGGUCUCAAGCGUUGUUCGGAUUCAUUGGGCGUAAAGGGUGCGUAGGCGGCGCGGUAAGUCGGGUGUGAAAUCUCGGAGCUUAACUCCGAAACUGCAUUCGAUACUGCCGUGCUUGAGGACUGGAGAGGAGACUGGAAUUUACGGUGUAGUGGUGGAAUGCGUAGAGAUCGGGAGGAACACCAGUGGCGAAAGCGGCUCUCUGGACAUCUCCUGACGCUGAGGCGCGAAAGCGUGGGGAGCAAACGGG